Hemicordylus capensis (graceful crag lizard) is the source of this 295-nucleotide long non-coding RNA. RefSeq lists it as uncharacterized. NCBI's taxonomy places the organism in Eukaryota, Metazoa, Chordata, Lepidosauria, Squamata, Cordylidae. The transcript is spliced from 3 exons. The record is from RefSeq and is a predicted model, not a curated record.
CAAUAUUAACAGCAAGAAAACAUGAACCCCAGUUUCACCAAAAGCAAAUGAGAAAUGGAACAGAAAAGGAGAGAAAUGGCAAGUCAGACUGAAGAGAAAGAGAACUGAGGAAAAAUUAAGAAGCAGAAAAGGACCUUCAGUGGAAAGAAGAGAACAUUUGAACACAACUGCCUGCUAGUACACGUACUACAACAAGAGAGAAAGAAAACCUGAGGAUACAACCCACUACGUUCUGAGAAGGCUAAUAGCAGGAGAAGCCUAUUACUCAUCUACAUUCAGCACUAAAAAAUGAAGG